Molecule: long non-coding RNA, 614 nt
Organism: Triticum urartu
Lineage: Eukaryota; Viridiplantae; Streptophyta; Magnoliopsida; Poales; Poaceae
Source: RefSeq, a predicted model, not a curated record
AGCUAAAUCGAACGAAUCCAAAUCCCGAACAAAGUUCGUCAAUCCCCCUUUCCUCUGUCCUGCACCACUCAUGUCUGCUGGAGGUUGCCGCCGCUAGGGUUAACUGAAAAAAUUGGGCGGAUCCCCCCCCCCCCCCCCCUCUCCUGCACCUCUUCCUCUUUGCUUUCGGCGUUGAAGCACGAGCGCCCAAAGAUCCAAAUCAUGAUGUCCGGCGGCGGCUCCCUGCCAUUGCGCCUCUGCAGCGACGUGGGGUUGUACCUCUGUGGAUCGACGAUAUGGCCGCAUAGGAGAGGACCAUCGGCCUUUACAGCUCAAGGAUCCAAGGCCUAUUUGUAGCCGGAUAGCAGUCCUGCAGCAGUGAAGCGAUACAAACUUUGACAUGCCCCAUGCCUGAAUUUCGAGAAACCUCAAAUGGACAAUGCAAUAGAAUGUGUAACGUUUAAGAUAUAUGAAUCUCUGCUGCUUUUCAGGUAGCAGUGUUGCUCUGCUGUAGAUUGUAUAUGAUGGCAUGUGUCGUCCUCAUUUAUACAUUUGUUUGGUCGAGCUUCUGUUUCAAACCGUGCAUAACACCUGAGAAAAAUUGACAAGUUGUGCUCUUGUAUCAGUUGUUGUAA